Molecule: transfer RNA, 72 nt
Filed under: Marmota monax (woodchuck)
Lineage: Eukaryota; Metazoa; Chordata; Mammalia; Rodentia; Sciuridae
Rfam family: tRNA
About the family: Transfer RNA (tRNA) molecules are approximately 80 nucleotides in length. Their secondary structure includes four short double-helical elements and three loops (D, anti-codon, and T loops). Further hydrogen bonds mediate the characteristic L-shaped molecular structure. tRNAs have two regions of fundamental functional importance: the anti-codon, which is responsible for specific mRNA codon recognition, and the 3' end, to which the tRNAs corresponding amino acid is attached (by aminoacyl-tRNA synthetases). tRNAs cope with the degeneracy of the genetic code in two manners: having more than one tRNA (with a specific anti-codon) for a particular amino acid; and 'wobble' base-pairing, i.e. permitting non-standard base-pairing at the 3rd anti-codon position.
Source: Rfam by way of RNAcentral
UGGGGUGUGGCUCAGUGGUAGAGCGCUUUCCUAGCAUGUGUGAGGCACUGGGUUUGAUCCUCAGCGCCUCAG